This 72-nucleotide transfer RNA is filed under the name Synechococcales cyanobacterium C42_A2020_086. It matches the Rfam family "tRNA". From Rfam's summary of the family: Transfer RNA (tRNA) molecules are approximately 80 nucleotides in length. RNAcentral also lists the same sequence under 2 other names. Lineage: Bacteria; Bacillati; Cyanobacteriota; Cyanophyceae; Synechococcales. The record is from Rfam by way of RNAcentral.
GCGACCGUCGCCAAGUGGUAAGGCAGAAGAUUGUGGCUCUUCUAUACGUGGGUUCGAUUCCCAUCGGUCGCC